GUUUUUGUUAAAGCUGUCAAACGCAAAGGCCUCUUGUCCGAACAUUUUUAAUAGGGUCUCCCCCUUUUUUUCAGCAGCAUACCAACAACUCUCUGACACCAACAUCAUGCACACGUAAAGGUUGAGAAGUUGACAGAGCAGCUGGAACAGAUGUGGAAGAUUAAGGCGAGCGUGGUCACCAUGGUAGUAGGAGCACUCGUGAGGGGCAGCCUCACAGGUAAAAGCAGUCUCCUGGUUAAAGCAGCGCACCGACAGCUCCAGACAGAUGACAAGCACACAGCUGGUGGAGGAGGAGUGAAGGCGGCCUGAGUGUGAUCCCGGUUUCCAUUCAUCAUGAUACCACUCUACUUCAGCAAUAAAUCUGUCACAACUAAAGGCGUGUGGAACAAGCCUCUGGUAACAUGAUGAACUCCAGUCAGCCUGUUGUACUUGCCAUCAGGAUGAAGAGGGGCACCAUCCAUAGUUCGCCAUCGUUCUGGAUAACCAGGUCAUACCUUACUGGUCAACCAGUUCUCACAUUUUGUAUAUGGUACUUUUUAUUAUCGACAACAUGUAAACCUUCAUAAUGACCACUGUUUACAACAUGGAUAUGGGCUACUACACUAGUCAAUGAAUAAAUUGACAUAGAAAGUAGGCAACAUAUUUGCAUAUUGCAUUUCUGAACCUUCAACCAAUUGAAAUGAACCAAUGUUCAUGUGAAUGCUGUCUUCAAAUGUUUACUAUGUUCACGAAGCAAAGUUAGCACUUGACCUCCAUGAAUCAACGGUACACGUACACAACUUCCUAAUACAGUGUAAAGCUACAUAAUUUUGCUUCUUUGAAGAUGAUGCUCUGACUGGGCAUCAGACAUGGUCAUCCAUCCACAACUUAAGUGGAAAAAACAAAAGAACAUUAGAAAAUUUGGAACAAAAGCCAUAAUUGUCUGUAAAGACACAUUUCCCUGUUAUCAAUCAUUUCAUGACCCUCCAGAGUUUUCACGCGACCCCACACUGGGAAGCAAUUCUGUCUGCGUUGAGUUCAGUUUCCAUCCUCGGAUGGAGAUUUUUGAUCCAAUCUAUAACUCAUUACACGUAGACAUGUUCCAUAAACAAGUCCCAACGGGGAACAAAACACGCAGCAAAUUCAAAUUGUUUCCCACUGGCAUAAAUCAAACAGUGGACAGGGCCUGGGCAGGACUCAUGCUAAUCUGAGCUGGGUUUCAUCAUGUGUAUGCAGGAUACAUAUUCAAGUGUCCUUGUGAAGAUAGUGUCAUUAUUUCUCAUGUCGCCCACAUUAAUUGGGUCAGCAGCUGCGAGAAGCUUGACCUGUGCUGUUGCUUGGCAACUGUUUCCCAAGCAUAUAGAAAAACACAAACCAGAACUUUCGUCACCUGGAAUUACCCAACAAGAUCUGCAACCUUGUUCAAAUGGAUUCGCAUAUUCAUGAAACCAUGGUAAAAAUAAAAAGUUCUAAUAUAAGAAAUGUAUUAAUUUAUUGGUAACACAAAGUUCAACUCACGUACAGUACACCGUGUACGAUUACCUCUGCUUUUAAAAACACAGGAAUUUAAAGAAGUGUCAAUUUUGCAACACAACACAAUGAAAACAGUCUGAGCAGCAAAGCCUUCACAUUAAAGCAAAACACAACAUCUGCAUUACAAAUAUAUUAGAGCCCCUUCAUGUCCAAAGAGGUUGCGCCCUUUGGGGAAACACUAAUAUUUUAUGUCUUUGCAGAGUUUUAGUGUGUAAAAGGAUAAUUACAGAACCGGGAGCUGCAAACCAAUUAUGCUAAAUACAUUGACCUCUUCACAGAAUGUAGCACUACAAGUGUAGUAGCAAACACCUACACACUUCACAAGCCUUCACACACAAACACAAUGUGCCCUGUUUAGUAAAAAAAAAAAACUUCCUUUACAGACACAAAUGGAUGUCUUAGCCUACAUAACACACACACACACAAUCACACACAGAGAACCUCUGUAUGGAAUGUGCCACCAGAAUAAACCUAAAGUUUUACACUGUCAUAUACUGUAUACUCAAAAUUAACAGAUUUACAAAAAGCUAUUCCAAAAGUUUAAUUAUGGGCAAACAAACCUUUAAUUAAAUGGCUAAUCAUCUUUCUUAAAAUAUGUUUUUAAAAUGAAUUUAGUGAAUUUUAAUUGUUUAACAUCAUAAUACAGAUACCAAAUCACAGAUCUUUCAUUUGUUUUGUGUUUUUUUAGUAUAUUAAUACACAAAUGUAAAGAAUCAUAUCAUCAUAUAAUAGUAUAAUUACUCUAAUUAAAAAGGCCAUAGUACUGAUCUGGCAGCCUAGGUUCUGUUCUGUUUUAUGACCACAUCUACUUGGUCAUUGCCAAACAAAGCAUGUAACAUCCAAAGCAAAAUAUAUCAACUUUCUCAGUAUUUGAGUUCUAAGGGUGUAGCCAUUUGUUAUAGGUUACAGUUUACGGGAUUUAUUUCAGAGGACACUGGAUUAUAUUGUUGUGUAAUAUACCAUAAAUUGAUGCAAAAAGAUCCACAUAAUAUCAUUCCAACUUGUCAUUUGGCAUAUUCACUCUUGAAUGUAUGCAAGGUACUCCUGAAAAAGUUGCAUGAAAAGUUAGUAAGAUGGUAAAAACUGUAGUUGGCCCUUGCAUUUGCACUUUUUCGACCCCCCCCCCCCAAAAUACUUGUAUUUCAGAAAAUUGCGUAGCACUGAAAAACACAGAAAAAAAACACAUUUAAAGCCAGGAUAAAGACAAAUGCUAUACCAUUCAAAUUUUAAGGUUUCUAUGAAAACAUAAAGAAGCCCUGAGCUUUAGAUAAGAACCAAUUCCUGCACUUCAAUGACAUGUUUAUGCCAAGGACGAAACCACCUUACUGACUCUGUUGGUAUUCAGGGAAGGUGCCGCAGCCACAUGAGCAGCAAUGAGGUGGCUUGUUGCUUUGCCGUUUCUUCUCAAUUGAUUGUGUUUACUAUCUCUGCAACUAAUAUCAAGCGAGACGAUAUGCAGGCAUCAGCAUAUCGACAUAUGGGGCAUCAGCAAACAUUUAUCUUUAUAAUCAUGUCAUUCUAACAAGGAAUAUACAUUU
Molecule: long non-coding RNA, 3050 nt
Organism: Mugil cephalus (flathead mullet)
Lineage: Eukaryota; Metazoa; Chordata; Actinopteri; Mugiliformes; Mugilidae
Exons: 4
Source: RefSeq, a predicted model, not a curated record